UUUCCUACGGGAGGCAGCAGUGAGGAAUAUUGGUCAAUGGACGAGAGUCUGAACCAGCCAAGUAGCGUGAAGGAUGACUGCCCUAUGGGUUGUAAACUUCUUUUAUAUGGGAAUAAAAUGUUCCACGUGUGGGAUUUUGUAUGUACCAUAUGAAUAAGGAUCGGCUAACUCCGUGCCAGCAGCCGCGGUAAUACGGAGGAUCCGAGCGUUAUCCGGAUUUAUUGGGUGUAAAGGGUGCGUAGACGGGACAGCAAGUUAGUUGUGAAAGCCCUCGGCUUAACUGAGGAACUGCAACUAAAACUAUU
Molecule: ribosomal RNA, 305 nt
Filed under: uncultured bacterium
Lineage: Bacteria
Description: bacterial SSU rRNA
Rfam family: Bacterial small subunit ribosomal RNA
Source: RNAcentral